AACGAACGCUGGCGGCAGGCCUAACACAUGCAAGUCGAACGCUCCGCAAGGGGAGUGGCGCACGGGUGAGUAACACGUGGGAACCUACCUUCUGGUACGGAACAACCAAGGGAAACUUUGGCUAAGACCGUAUACGACCUCCGGGUGAAAGAUUGAUCGCCGGAAGAGGGGCCCGCGUCCGAUUAGGUAGUUGGUGAGGUAACGGCUCACCAAGCCUUCGAUCGGUAGCUGGUCUGAGAGGAUGACCAGCCACACUGGGACUGAGACACGGCCCAGACUCCUACGGGAGGCAGCAGUGGGGAAUAUUGGACAAUGGGCGCAAGGCCUGAUCCAGCCAUGCCGCGUGAGUGAUGAAGGCCU
Molecule: ribosomal RNA, 360 nt
Filed under: uncultured bacterium
Lineage: Bacteria
Description: bacterial SSU rRNA
Rfam family: Bacterial small subunit ribosomal RNA
Source: RNAcentral